GAGGAUAUAGUUUAAUUGGCAGAACGUCUGUAUGUGGAACAGUUAGUUCCCUGUUCAACUCGGGGUGUCCUCC
RNAcentral lists this transfer RNA (73 nucleotides) under Arthonia cupressina. RNAcentral's name for it is "tRNA-His". It matches the Rfam family "tRNA". From Rfam's summary of the family: Transfer RNA (tRNA) molecules are approximately 80 nucleotides in length. Their secondary structure includes four short double-helical elements and three loops (D, anti-codon, and T loops). Lineage: Eukaryota; Fungi; Ascomycota; Arthoniomycetes; Arthoniales; Arthoniaceae. The record is from RNAcentral.